RNAcentral lists this ribosomal RNA (406 nucleotides) under Nocardia farcinica. Its description in RNAcentral is "bacterial SSU rRNA". It matches the Rfam family "Bacterial small subunit ribosomal RNA", at positions 94 to 514 of the family's 1533-position model. Lineage: Bacteria; Bacillati; Actinomycetota; Actinomycetes; Mycobacteriales; Nocardiaceae. The record is from RNAcentral.
AGCGGCGAACGGGUGAGUAACACGUGGGUGAUCUGCCCUGUACUUCGGGAUAAGCCUGGGAAACUGGGUCUAAUACCGGAUAUGACCUUACAUCGCAUGGUGUUUGGUGGAAAGAUUUAUCGGUACAGGAUGGGCCCGCGGCCUAUCAGCUUGUUGGUGGGGUAAUGGCCUACCAAGGCGACGACGGGUAGCCGGCCUGAGAGGGCGACCGGCCACACUGGGACUGAGACACGGCCCAGACUCCUACGGGAGGCAGCAGUGGGGAAUAUUGCACAAUGGGCGAAAGCCUGAUGCAGCGACGCCGCGUGAGGGAUGACGGCCUUCGGGUUGUAAACCUCUUUCUACAGGGACGAAGCGCAGGUGACGGUACCUGUAAAAGAAGCACCGGCCAACUACGUGCCAGCAG